Molecule: ribosomal RNA, 429 nt
Filed under: uncultured bacterium
Lineage: Bacteria
Description: bacterial SSU rRNA
Rfam family: Bacterial small subunit ribosomal RNA
Source: RNAcentral
UGGGGAAUUUUUCGCAAUGGGGGAAACCCUGACGAAGCAACGCCGCGUGGAGGAUGAAGGCCUUCGGGUCGUAAACUCCUGUCGACCGGGAAGAAUGCACCUGACCUAAUACGUCAAAGUGUUGACUGUACCGGUGGAGGAAGCCACGGCUAACUCUGUGCCAGCAGCCGCGGUAAUACAGAGGUGGCAAGCGUUGUUCGGAAUUACUGGGCGUAAAGGGCGCGUAGGCGGCCCGUCAAGUCCCGUGUGAAAGCCCCCGGCUCAACCGGGGAACGGCGCGGGAAACUAGCAGGCUUGAGUUCGGGAGAGGGAAGCGGAAUUCCGGGUGUAGCGGUGAAAUGCGCAGAUAUCCGGAGGAACACCGGUGGCGAAGGCGGCUUCCUGGACCGACACUGACGCUGAGGCGCGAAAGCUAGGGGAGCAAACGGG